RNAcentral lists this long non-coding RNA (341 nucleotides) under Nicotiana benthamiana. RNAcentral's name for it is "long non-coding RNA (NBEN_LNC008611)". The record is from RNAcentral. Lineage: Eukaryota; Viridiplantae; Streptophyta; Magnoliopsida; Solanales; Solanaceae.
ACAAAUAACUCACAAAAUUUCCUAGUGCAAAGUUGGGGGAAAACAUUUCGUUCGUUUGUUUGUUAUUUGAACAAGUUUGACAUCGAAGCACAGGUUCCGAGGAAACUAAAAGGAUGAGUCUCAAUCCAGAAUAAAGGAAAGAAGAAAAAGAAAAGAAGUAGUGAAUUCAAAUGCUGAAGCAAACAUAGAUGUGAGCUGAUCAAAACUUUAUUGAAACCACAAGCUCCGACGGUCCCGCUUCGAUUCAAUGCUGAAGGAAGAUCCAACACCUACAGCUCGCGAGCAUCAAGAUUUAGAUCGGAGUCCACAGCAAAAGCAGCUAAGACUCAAGAUCAAGCUCC